RNAcentral lists this ribosomal RNA (449 nucleotides) under uncultured bacterium. Its description in RNAcentral is "partial 16S ribosomal RNA". It matches the Rfam family "Bacterial small subunit ribosomal RNA", at positions 354 to 796 of the family's 1533-position model. The record is from RNAcentral.
GUCGAGAAUCUUUCACAAUGGGGGCAACCCUGAUGGAGCGACGCCGCGUGGAGGAUAAGGUCUUCGGAUUGUAAACUCCUGUCAUGCGUGAACAAGGUUGCUUGGUUAAUACCUGGGCAAAUUGAUGGUAACGCAAGAGGAAGAGACGGCUAACUCUGUGCCAGCAGCCGCGGUAAUACAGAGGUCUCAAGCGUUGUUCGGAAUCACUGGGCGUAAAGGGUGCGUAGGUGGCGUGGUAAGUCAGAUGUGAAAGCCCGGGGCUCAACCUCGGAACUGCAUCCGAUACUGCCAUGCUAGAGUACUGGAGAGGUGACUAGAAUUCUCGGUGUAGCAGUGAAAUGCGUAGAUAUCGAGAGGAAUACCAAAGGCGUAGGCAGGUCACUGGACAGUUACUGACACUGAGGCACGAAGGCCAGGGGAGCGAACGGGAUUAGAAACCCGGGUAGUCC